GACGAACGCUGGCGGCGUGCUUAACACAUGCAAGUCGAACGGAAAGGCCCUGCUUUUGUGGGGUGCUCGAGUGGCGAACGGGUGAGUAACACGUGAGUAACCUGCCCUUGACUUUGGGAUAACUUCAGGAAACUGGGGCUAAUACCGGAUAGAAGCUCCUGCUGCAUGGUGGGGGUUGGAAAGUUUCGGCGGUUGGGGAUGGACUCGCGGCUUAUCAGCUUGUUGGUGGGGUAGUGGCUUACCAAGGCUUUGACGGGUAGCCGGCCUGAGAGGGUGACCGGCCACAUUGGGACUGAGGGACGGCCCAGACUCCUACGGGAGGCAGCAGUGGGGAAUAUUGCACAAUGGGCGGAAGCCUGAGGCAGCAACGCCGCGUGCGGGAUGACGGCCUUCGGGUUGUAAACCGCUUUCGCCUGUGACGAAGCGUGAGUGACGGUAAUGGGUAAAGAAGCACCGGCUAACUACGUG
Molecule: ribosomal RNA, 468 nt
Filed under: uncultured bacterium
Lineage: Bacteria
Description: partial 16S ribosomal RNA
Rfam family: Bacterial small subunit ribosomal RNA
Source: RNAcentral